This 402-nucleotide ribosomal RNA is filed under the name uncultured soil bacterium. RNAcentral's name for it is "bacterial SSU rRNA". It matches the Rfam family "Bacterial small subunit ribosomal RNA", at positions 26 to 425 of the family's 1533-position model. The record is from RNAcentral.
AGAUUGAACGCUGGCGGCAUGCCUUACACAUGCAAGUCGAACGGCAGCACGGGAGCAAUCCUGGUGGCGAGUGGCGAACGGGUGAGUAAUACAUCGGAACGUGCCCAGUUGUGGGGGAUAGCCCGGCGAAAGCCGGAUUAAUACCGCAUACGACCUACGGGUGAAAGCGGGGGAUCGCAAGACCUCGCGCUAUUGGAGCGGCCGAUGUCGGAUUAGCUUGUUGGUAGGGUAAAAGCCUACCAAGGCUACGAUCCGUAGCUGGUCUGAGAGGACGACCAGCCACACUGGGACUGAGACACGGCCCCAGACUCCUACGGGAGCGAGCAGGUGGGAAUUUGGACUAAGUGGGACGAAAGCCUGAUCCAGCCAUGCCGCGUGCGGGAAAGACGGUCCUUCGGGUUA